This 1035-nucleotide long non-coding RNA is filed under the name Nicotiana tabacum (common tobacco). RNAcentral's name for it is "long non-coding RNA (NTAB_LNC002265)". The record is from RNAcentral. Lineage: Eukaryota; Viridiplantae; Streptophyta; Magnoliopsida; Solanales; Solanaceae.
UAUUAUAAUUACACCACCUGAUUGUGUCCCCACCCCCAAAAGGAAAGUAUAAUAUAAAAUAGAGAAAAACAUCAACAGGAUAUUAAUAAUAACUUCUCUCUGGACUUCCCUAAGAGAAAGUUGGACAAAACUAUUAAAUCACUAUUACUUUUAUCAAAGCCAAUACUGUUGACAAGAUGCAAGAAAGUGGACGAAUACAUAUAGCAUCCUCACAAGCACCUUUCAAGCCCUUUUCAAGCAGUGAAGUUAGCCCUGGUUCCAACAAGUAUCAGUGACUCGGUUGUUCGAGAAAGCUUUUUGCUUGUUGUGAGUCCACAACUGAAGUUCCAUAUGCUCCCAUCAGUCCAAAACCUCUUGCAAAGUUGUACCUGCAAAGUUAUAGUUUGCACAAUAAUGAACAGGGAGCACUUGAGAAAUGUACAACAUAUUGGUUAAGGAAAAAGAUGCUAUAUCUGAAUUGGCUGAGGAAGACUGGAAUAUAAGAAAUUCACACACCGGGUUUACAGGUGUGAAUUUUUUCGUCACAAAUGACGCCAACAGUCAAUAGAACGAACAAUCCAAACUUUAACACCACGUUAUCAAUUCCAAAUACUUGCUACAGCUCAAUGACACCUUCCUAACUUUGAUCUAGUCCAGAGCAUAGUUGGGUCAACAUUGACAGUGAGGGCAAUCAAGUUGCUAGUCUAAAUUAGGAAUGAUGCAAUCAUUUUGGACACCACCAAUCACCUAGAUUUAAGGGAAAAAAGAAAACCAAAAACUUGAAUACUUAGAUGCAUUAUAAUUGAUCUCUGCGCCCUCUGAACAUUGUUAUCUCUAUCCUCAUUAUUCCAUUAUCUAUGCUGCAACACUAUAAACUGGAAAAUUACCAGAGGAGUAAAUUCCUCCAUCUACCACUUCAAAUAUCUCAGGCUUUUUAGCUCGGCAUUUGCAGAUCUGUUAGCCAUUAGAAACUUGAAGUCUGCUUGCUUCACGCUUAAUCCAUAGGUAAACCUACUAAUGUUACAGAACAACAAUACCAAGAGUUCUCAAUCUAAG